This 693-nucleotide ribosomal RNA is filed under the name Weissella cibaria. RNAcentral's name for it is "partial 23S ribosomal RNA". It matches the Rfam family "Bacterial large subunit ribosomal RNA", at positions 1 to 693 of the family's 2925-position model. The record is from RNAcentral. Lineage: Bacteria; Bacillati; Bacillota; Bacilli; Lactobacillales; Lactobacillaceae.
GGUUAAGUUAUUAAGGGCGCAUGGUGGAUGCCUUGGCACUAGGAGCCGAUGAAGGACGGGACUAACACCGAUAUGCUUCGGGGAGCUGUAAGUAAGCUUUGAUCCGGAGAUUUCCGAAUGGGGGAACCCAACUUGUUAUGCAAGUUAUCACCUAAUGAAUAUAUAGUUAGGUUGAAGGUAGACGUUGUGAACUGAAACAUCUCAUUAGCAACAGGAAUAGAAAGAAAAAUCGAUACCGUCAGUAGCGGCGAGCGAAAUCGGUAGAGCCCAAACCAAAGUGCUUGCACUUUGGGGUUGUAGGACUGACAUUGUGGAGUUACAAAGUUAACAUUUAGCAGAAUCAGCUGGGAAGCUGAGCGAGACAGGGUGAUAGCCCCGUAUGCGAAAAAUGUUGACCUCCCGUCAGGAUCCUGAGUACGGCCGGACACGUGAAAUCCGGUCGGAAUCCGCGAGGACCAUCUCGCAAGGCUAAAUACUCCCUAGUGACCGAUAGUGAACCAGUACCGUGAGGGAAAGGUGAAAAGCACCCCGGAAGGGGAGUGAAAAAGUUCCUGAAACCAUGUGCCUACAAGAAGUUAGAGCCCGUUAAUGGGUGAUAGCGUGCCUUUUGUAGAAUGAACCGGCGAGUUACGAUAACGUGCAAGGUUAAGGUGGAAAGACCGGAGCCGUAGCGAAAGCGAGUCUGAAAUGGGC